UGGGGAAUUUUGGACAAUGGGCGAAAGCCUGAUCCAGCAAUGCCGCGUGUGUGAAGAAGGCCUUCGGGUUGUAAAGCACUUUUGUCCGGAAAGAAAUCCUUGGCUCUAAUACAGUCGGGGGAUGACGGUACCGGAAGAAUAAGCACCGGCUAACUACGUGCCAGCAGCCGCGGUAAUACGUAGGGUGCAAGCGUUAAUCGGAAUUACUGGGCGUAAAGCGUGCGCAGGCGGUUUGCUAAGACCGAUGUGAAAUCCCCGGGCUCAACCUGGGAACUGCAUUGGUGACUGGCAGGCUAGAGUAUGGCAGAGGGGGGUAGAAUUCCACGUGUAGCAGUGAAAUGCGUAGAGAUGUGGAGGAAUACCGAUGGCGAAGGCAGCCCCCUGGGCCAAUACUGACGCUCAUGCACGAAAGCGUGGGGAGCAAACAGGAUUAGAUACCCUGGUAGUCCACGCCCUAAAACGAUGUCAACUAGUUGUUGGGGAUUCAUUUCCUUAGUAACGUAGCUAACGCGUGAAGUUGACCGCCUGGGGAGUACGGUCGCAAGAUUAAAACUGAAAGGAAUUGACGGGGUCAUAGCUGUUUCCU
Molecule: ribosomal RNA, 586 nt
Filed under: uncultured bacterium
Lineage: Bacteria
Description: partial 16S ribosomal RNA
Rfam family: Bacterial small subunit ribosomal RNA
Source: RNAcentral